Molecule: long non-coding RNA, 1743 nt
Filed under: Xyrichtys novacula (pearly razorfish)
Lineage: Eukaryota; Metazoa; Chordata; Actinopteri; Labriformes; Labridae
Source: RNAcentral
CUUUGGACCACAGCGUUUUAGGAACUUCUUAAAGUCAUGUGCUCUACCAACUGAGCUAUGAAGGUGCUUAUAGAUAAAAACGCAGAAAACAUAGUGGCUUCGGCGACACACUUUGCCAACAUAACUAUUGAACCAACAUGGUCAAUGAAAAAGGUUGAACAGUGCAUAGACCAAUGAAAUGUGGUGUUUGGAGCAGGAGUUGAACCAGCGUCCUUUGGACCACAGCGUUUCAGGAACUUAUUAAAGUCAUGUGCUCUACCAACUGAGCUAUGAAGGUGCUUAUAGAUAAAAACGCAGAAAACAUAGUGGCUUCGGCGACACACUUUGCCAACAAUACAAUUGGACCCACAUGGUCAAUGAAAAAGGUUGAACAGUGCUUAGACAAAUGAAAUCUGGUGUUUGGAGCAGGAGUUGAACCAGCGACCUUUGGACCACAGCGUUUCGGGAACUUCUUAAAGUCAUGUGCUCUACCAACUGAGCUAUGAAGGUGCUUAUACAUAAAAACGCAGAAAACAUAGUGGCUUCGGCGACACACUUUGCCAAAACAACAAUCAAGCCACCUGGUCAAUGAAAAAGGAUGAACAGUGCAUAUACAAAUGAAAUCUGGUGCUUGGAGCUGGAGUUGAACCAGCGACCUUUGGACCACAGCGUUUCAGGAACUUCUUAAAGUCAUGUGCUCUACCAACUGAGCUAUGAAGGUGCUUAUAGAUAAAAACGCAGAAAACAUAGUGGCUUCGGCGACACACUUUGCCAACAUAACUAUUGAACCAACAUGGUCAAUGAAAAAGGUUGAACAGUGCAUAUACAAAUGAAAUCUGGUGUUUGGAGCUGGAGUUGAACCAGCGACCUUUGGACCACAGCGUUUCAGGAACUUCUUAAAGUCAUGUGCUCUACCAACUGAGCUAUGAAGGUGCUUAUAGAUAAAAACGCAGAAAACAUAGUGGCUUCGGCGACACACUUUGCCAACAAUACAAUUGGACCCACAUGGUCAAUGAAAAAGGUUGAACAGUGCUAAGACAAAUGAAAUCUGGUGUUUGGAGCUGGAGUUGAACCAGCGACCUUUGGACCACAGCGUUUCAGGAACUUCUUAAAGUCAUGUGCUCUACCAACUGAGCUAUGAAGGUGCUUAUAGAUAAAAACGCAGAAAACAUAGUGGCUUCGGCGACACACUUUGCCAAAACAACAAUCAAGCCACCUGGUCAAUGAAAAAGGAUGAACAGUGCAUAUACAAAUGAAAUCUGGUGCUUGGAGCUGGAGUUGAACCAGGGACCUUUGGACCACAGCGUUUCAGGAACUUCUUACAGUCAUGUGCUCUACCAACUGAGCUAUGAAGGUGCUUAUAGAUGAAAACGCAGAAAACAUAGUGGCUUCGGCGACACACUUUGCCAACACAACAAUCAAGCCACCUGGUCAAUGAAAAAGGUUGAACAGUGCAUAAAUCAAUGAAAUCUGGUGUUUGGAGCAGGAGUUGAACCAGCGACCUUUGGACCACAGCAUUUCAGGAACUUCUUAAAGUCAUGUGCUCUACCAACUGAGCUAUGAAGGUGCUUAUAGAUAAAAACGCAGAAAACAUAGUGGCUUCGGCGACACACUUUGCCAAAACAACAAUCAAGCCACCUGGUCAAUGAAAAAGGAUGAACAGUGCAUAUACAAAUGACAACUGGAUGCUUGGAGCUGGAGUUGAACCAGCGACCUUUGGACCACAGCGUUUCAGGAACUUCUUAAAGUCAUGUGCUCUACCAA